This 482-nucleotide ribosomal RNA is filed under the name uncultured bacterium. RNAcentral's name for it is "partial 16S ribosomal RNA". It matches the Rfam family "Bacterial small subunit ribosomal RNA", at positions 30 to 507 of the family's 1533-position model. The record is from RNAcentral.
AUUGAACGCUGGCGGCAUGCUUUACACAUGCAAGUCGAACGGUAACAGGCCGCAAGGUGCUGACGAGUGGCGAACGGGUGAGUAAUGCAUCGGAACGUGCCCAGUCGUGGGGGAUAACUACUCGAAAGAGUAGCUAAUACCGCAUACGAUCUAUGGAUGAAAGCGGGGGACCGUAAGGCCUCGUGCGAUUGGAGCGGCCGAUGUCAGAUUAGGUAGUUGGUGGGGUAAAGGCUCACCAAGCCAACGAUCUGUAGCUGGUCUGAGAGGACGACCAGCCACACUGGGACUGAGACACGGCCCAGACUCCUACGGGAGGCAGCAGUGGGGAAUUUUGGACAAUGGGCGCAAGCCUGAUCCAGCAAUGCCGCGUGCAGGAAGAAGGCCUUCGGGUUGUAAACUGCUUUUGUACGGAACGAAACGGCUCUGGUUAAUACCCGGGGCUAAUGACGGUACCGUAAGAAUAAGCACCGGCUAACUACGUG